Molecule: long non-coding RNA, 2273 nt
Filed under: Nilaparvata lugens (brown planthopper)
Lineage: Eukaryota; Metazoa; Arthropoda; Insecta; Hemiptera; Delphacidae
Description: uncharacterized LOC120354310, transcript variant X1
Source: RNAcentral
CAAUGAUUCAAAACCCCAAAUUCAUUAUUACUUUUCACAAACAAAUAUUAGAAGAAUGAUAAACAAACCAUAUUCAUUGAAAUGGAACACCGUUAAAAUUGAAUUUGUAAUUCCAAUUUUGUUGAUUACCAUAUCAGAUGUGAUAAUAAGCAUCAGCGCCCUUAUUCAAUACCUACUAUUACUUACUCGCUUGCUUACCGCCAGUAGAUCAUCGAUGAUCUACAUGUGAUGACGUCAUAGUUUGUUAGAGAUCAGUUGUGGGGCCUGAAGUAAUAGUAGGUAUUGGUUAAAGCCGAUUUGAAUCGAUCUUGAAUAUAGCUUGCUACGCAUUCCCUUGAAUUUUGUUUCUAUUGUGAGUGUCGAACAAUCCUCGAGUAGCCUAUUUUACAUUGUCUUCUUUACAUUGUCUAUUUCUCAUUGUCACUUCCAAAAUCUCCUCUAAUACAGGGGAGAAGAGAUCAACCUGUAGUGUUCAUCCCACACAGCACAAAAAGUUUAAAAAACGUUUAAUAAAUUAAUAAAUGUUUAAAAUGUAUAAAUCCGAUAAACGUUAUGAAAACAACGUUCAAUAAACGUUAGGGAAUUUUACUAAAAUGAACGUUUACUCUAUAAACGUUUAAUAAACGUCUAGAAUGUAUAUUGCUGAUAAACGUUAUGAAAACAACGUUUGAUAAACUUAGAAAUGUUUACUAAAAUAAACGUUAGAAAGGUUGGUACAGUAUGGAAUUUCUACAGUACCUACCCAGUCAACACACUAAGUGAAAAUGUUAUAAGUGAAAAUCAAACAUUUUUUUCAGAAGGUGUCUCCUCCCCCCUCACCUGUGUAUCUUAAUCCCUAAAAAUGUCUCAAUUUAGGCUUUCUGACCAAUAUUCCUAAGUGGAAUUGAAUUCCAAUCCCUUUCUAUCUUCUUCAAAAAUCGUCUCCAACUCACCGUUAUCGAGAUAAAGAAAAUGUUUUACACAAAUUAAGACUGAAAUUUUUUGAGUUUUCCAAAAAGUCUCAUUUUAAGCUUUUUGUUAAUCAAUUCAGGUGCAGAAUUGCAAUUCAAAUACUUUUUGUCUUCUGCGAAAAUCGUCUAAAAUGCACUGUUAACGAUAUAAUUGACCUUUUGCGCUAAAUCCAGAGGGACUUGCCAGAUGUUCAAGUUUCCCAAAAAAGUCGAAAAAUUGUAUUUCUAAUCAAUAGUUCGGAUGCAGAAUUGAAUUUCAAACACUUUUUGUCUCUUGCGAAAAUUGUCUACAACGUACUGUUGAUGAUAUAAUAGACCUUUUGCGCUAAUUUUAAUCCAAAUAGGGACUUGGAAAAAAUUUGAUCGAUUUCUAAGUUUCCCAAAAAUGUUCAAAAAAGCAGUCUUUUAUCACUUAUUCGGCUACAGAAGUAGAUUUCCAGCACUUCUUCUCAAUGCAAAAAUCCCGUCAGAUGGGCCGUUGACGGGCUACUAACGUUUAAAAUUUUAAAUAAUUGGUAAUUGAUGAUGAAAAAUUUUGAAAAAAAUAAUUAACGAUUCUGUUCAUGUUAUAAACAUUGUCCUAGAAUUUCAAAUGUUUCCAUCCAAAAUUGAGAAAGUUAUAUCAUUUUUUCAAAUUAGAUUCCAGUUUGUGCUGAAAAUCAUGUCACACACCAAGCCUAUGAAAUAAUUUUCAAGUUUCAAAUUCAAAUAAUAAUAAACUAGGUACUAUUUUAUUGAUUCCAACAUUAUUUCAGUGGAAGCACAAAUGUCCCCAUAAAGAAAUCAUUAAUCCAUCCCAGAAAUAUGGACUGUUUUAAUGUUAACAAUAAAGAUUGUCUAUAUCAAUAACUUUGAAACUCCCGGGGUGAUUCGUGCUUGUGCACUACUGCGCUUGAGCGACAGCCAUUAAAGAUGUCCUCGUCCUGUCUUCUUCAGUUUUCAGUAGUUGAAGAUGAAGUAUUGCAGUAUUGGUUUGUUGUUUGUUUAUCCUUUAUUUUAUCGCGUCAUCAAGUUGAUGAUGAUUUUUGAUUGCUGAAGGUCUUAAAUUAAGACGAAGGUGGGAAUAGAACUGCAGAUACAUAUUAUACUAAAAUCCACCAUGACAGAUGAAUAUGAUGCCAAGGAUUAGAUUUGAAAAAAGUUCUUCUCCUUUACAUUUGAUGAAAGCCAUUUUCAGCAAAGGUGGGAAUAGAACUGCAGACGCAUAUACCAAAAUCCACCAUGACAGACGAAUAUGCUGCCAACUACAGUUUUAGAUUUAAAACUCCUUUCUACAUCUGAUGGAAACCAUUUUCAGUAAGUUGCACUAUACUAUUUCCUAAU